Small nucleolar RNA from Hypanus sabinus (Atlantic stingray), 91 nucleotides. RefSeq annotates it as small nucleolar SNORD12/SNORD106. The transcript has a single exon. The record is from RefSeq and is a predicted model, not a curated record. NCBI's taxonomy places the organism in Eukaryota, Metazoa, Chordata, Chondrichthyes, Myliobatiformes, Dasyatidae.
AUUUUAGUGAAUGAUGUUUAAACUUUUUUCCCCAUCUUAUCGAUCAUGACGAUUAUAUUGAGAAAAAGCCAAAUUCUUCUGACACUAAUGA